This 497-nucleotide ribosomal RNA is filed under the name uncultured bacterium. RNAcentral describes it as "partial 16S ribosomal RNA". It matches the Rfam family "Bacterial small subunit ribosomal RNA", at positions 28 to 507 of the family's 1533-position model. The record is from RNAcentral.
GAUGAACGCUGGCGGCGUGCUUAACACAUGCAAGUCGAGCGGACAGAUAAGGUGCGUGCUCCUCUGACGUUAGCGGCGGACGUGUGAGUAACACGUGCAUAACCUACCUACAAGACUGGGAUAACUUCGGGAAACCGUAGCUAAUACCGGAUAACAUAUUGAACCGCAUGGUUCAAUAGCGAAAGGCGGCUUUGCUGUCAUUUAUAGAUGGAUCCGCGCGGUAUGAGUUAGUUGGUAAGGUAACGGCUUACCAAGGCAGCGAUGCGUAGCCGACCUGAGAGGGUGUACGGGCACAGUGAAGGUGAGACGCGGUACAGACACCGAGAGGAGGCAGAGGCAGGGACUCUUCCGCGAUGGGGGAAAGCGUGACGAAGGAGCGCCGGGUGAAUGAUGAAGGUCUUCGGAUGGGAAAACGCUGUUAGCAGUGAAGAACAAAUGUGUAAGUAGCUGUGCAGAUCUUGACGGUACCUGAUGAAAAAGCCACGGCUAACUACGUG